RNAcentral lists this unclassified non-coding RNA (223 nucleotides) under Hevea brasiliensis (rubber tree). The record is from RNAcentral. Lineage: Eukaryota; Viridiplantae; Streptophyta; Magnoliopsida; Malpighiales; Euphorbiaceae.
AAGGUGUACGUGGGUUCAUUAAGAGGGCUUCCUUUUUGUUCACUAAGGCUUUCCAUCUCCAUGAAAUAGGAACAAAGAUCAUAUAUAUCCGAGCAAAGAUUGGGGAUAUAUCUACAAGUAUGCAGACUUACGGCAUCAAACUUGUUGAGGGAGAGGGUUCAAAUUUUGGGAGACAACAACAAUCCAGAAGAUCGUAUCAACAUGCUGAGGAAGAGUAUGUCAU